CUCCUCAAAUUCCAGGUGUCUCCUGACCAGAGCAGAUCCCGGAUGGAGAAGUUCACCCCACUUCGCGCAUGUCGUCUCCCGAGGGCUGUUUGUCCACCUCCUGCCUUGCUGGAGAGGAUGUCAAGGGAGAGAUAGUGAUUGGAAGAGGAGAGGCACUCUGAAACAGAAACAGGACAACCAGCGUUGCCUGCCAGCGGUGAGGGCUUCUCCAACCUUUUCCAAUACUUCUCCAAGCUUCCCAAGCCAGAAAAUAACAGCUGAGGCCCUCAGCUCCCAGGAAAAGAUGUUUUUUCAGUGGACAGAGGAUUACAGAGUGUCCGAAGCUCUGACACUGCCAGGGAUUUUGCAUUACCGCGCCUGAUAAUUCUCCCAGGAGCCUGUGCAAAUAUUCUCAUGAAUGAAAACUACUGAGGUACUUCACUGGUAUUUGCAAUUCCUUUUAUUCACGCCAAAUUUUUCUUGCUGAGGCUGCUCGCACAAAGGGCGAAUAAAUAUUCAGAGUGCUCCUGCCUGAAACGCGCCUGCCGAUGUUAUGAAAUGUUCUUCUUAUUUUCCCAGUGCAUUCAAACAAUUUCAGUCGAGGAACCUUUAAAGAAACUCCUGCUUGUAAAGGGAAGGUGACUGAAUAGGGGAACAGAAAGAAGAUCACACGAUCACCUCCUCACCUAAGUGAAAAAAACUAGCAGUGACUCGGGGACACCCAGAUAUUAAUUGAGAAGCCGAAAUGAGCCAUUUAAUGCUCUUUGCACAGAUAGUAAAUGUUUCUCCCAUUGACUUGUUUGCAUGCAUGUUUUGUUUUGUGCUCUUUAACAAGAGGAGGAGGAAGGAGAAAAAGUUGCAGCCAAAAUACUUGGUGUGAUUCCACUUGCUCUACUCUUUUCUUAAGCACGGUGCCUGUGUUUGAAGACAUAUUUCAGACGGUGCCCCUUUCUCUUCAGGACAUGCCUUAAAGCUGGCAUUCAGCUCAGCAUGAUGUGAUCGGAGGUGACAUUGCAUUGUUUGUGGGACAGGGUUGUGCCUUUACCCCUGGAGAGGAUGCUGAGCCCACCAUUGUGAUCUCCUGCACCAAGGCUGAGCGUGUUGAGGACCAUUCACCGCAUCCCUGAGCUUGGAAAGGAGGACGUGACACCUUAGAAGAAAAGAGGUAACAGACCACGGGACUCUUCUUUUUCUGAAUAAAGUUGGUCUCAGGCUGAAAAGGGGGACCCUAUACCAUGCAAUAAAUCAGGAUUAAACUAAACAGUGCUGCUCAGAAGCCCUCAGCUGCUUUCUCCAGGAUUUCAGUAUGUUGCAGCUUUUCUGUGCCCAGCUGCCUGGGCCUUUUUGUGGUAAGCAAGAGUCUGAUUUAUCGUUUUACGCUGUUUAUGUUAUUAAUGCCUCUGAAAAUGUUGGAUCUGCCACAUAUUUCUUGGCGCGCUCCUUGGAGUAAAUGGCAACUGUGAUGGCUUUGGAAGAUGAUUUGCUGAAGGAUACUGUAUUAAAAUUCUGUUUGGACAUUUGGGCUGCUGGUAUAAGGAUGUGAUAGCCAUUUCCUUCCUGUAAUGAUAUAUUGUCAUGUUAAUUUUGAUGGUAUCUCACUGUAAAAUAGAGGGAUUUGAAAGCCUGCAAUUUGAGAGCCUGGAGUUGUACCUAUCUGUCUGUAUCUAUAUUUAUAUACAGGUUAUUUCUUUUUUCUUUUUCCUCUUUUAAAGUAAUGCUUGCACUUAACAUUUGCUGUACCGGUGAUGAUUCUUUAUUAGGUCUGGAGAAAUUUAGAUGUGUGCUGAUGGUAAACCAGCUUUUUUCGAACUAAAAGGGUUUCAGAUGAGUUUCGUGUUCUUUCUCAGUGUUUUGUUUUUCAAACCAAUUACUGCCCUGCUGCCCACAUCAGGCAGGUUUCAGCCUGAAAGUUCCCUUUGUUGAGCUAAAAUAUGGUCUCUGCUAAAUGCUGAGCAGCGAUGGCUAGAGAUGAAUAAGCAGCAGGUUGCAGAAUUAAUCAAGAAAUCAUUUAGCACCUGCAAAUAAAUACUUGUAGCUGAAGUCUUUUUCUCGGCUCCUGCUUUGUUUUGGCUAGGUCCCUGGCUUCAGAGCAGAGGUGGGAGAGAAGCAGCUGGGAUUUAAGUCUUCCUCCCUUCUCUGCCCCUCUUUGACCUGUGCCCAUGUGCUGCCGCCUCCUCUUUAAGGGAUUAUCUCUGGGCCAGGCCAGGACCUCUGUCCCCACAGAUAUUUGUUCCCUGGCUUAUUUUCCCAGCUGGUUCCACGCGCCACCACUCCUCCGAGGCUCGGGCAGGGAAUGGGAGCGCUCCCCAUCUGCCGCAGCAGCCCUCUAGCUGGUUGGAUUUGUGCUGGAACAGGUUUUAGAGCAUCCUCGCCAUCCCUUCUGUGAUCCCUUUUUGGUGAUCUCUGCGGUGCACCAACCCAUUUCUCCUGCAGCCGUAAGUCACAGGGUAACCUUGGCAGUGGCUUUACUGACAGGGCUCUGGAGGGUUUGAUGUAGGAGUCCAGCCUUUAUUCAUUGCCAAGCUAAAAAAAAAAAUAAUAAUAAGGUUAGUAUAUAAAACAUUCAAAAGCUUUCUUGCUUUCUCAGAUGUAGAAAUUGAGAAGGAAAGGUAAACCCAGGUUAAAGACCUGGACUUUCAGAUGCUUGCUGCUGAUUGUUUAUGAAUCUUGUCCCUUUUUAGGAUG
Long non-coding RNA from Cygnus olor (mute swan), 2664 nucleotides. RefSeq lists it as uncharacterized. NCBI's taxonomy places the organism in Eukaryota, Metazoa, Chordata, Aves, Anseriformes, Anatidae. The record is from RefSeq and is a predicted model, not a curated record. The transcript is spliced from 4 exons.